Molecule: long non-coding RNA, 3241 nt
Organism: Cygnus olor (mute swan)
Lineage: Eukaryota; Metazoa; Chordata; Aves; Anseriformes; Anatidae
Exons: 4
Source: RefSeq, a predicted model, not a curated record
GAGCGUGGCGACCAGGGCAUGGCGCGGCAGUACAGGGCGUGGCACGGCAGCUGGCGUGGCAGUUCGCGCAGGCAAGGCAAGCAGGGAGAGCAGAGUGUUCCGCCCCCCCCGCCCAUACGAACAACUCCUCUAACGGCUGUCGACCACUAGUGGCUUGUCUCUCUCCACGGUGGAACGUGACAGCACAAGGAUAUCUCUGUGGCUGUGUUGCCUGCUUGCUCACAACGCAGAUAAUAAAGUGAAACACUGGGCUAAUGGAAAGCAGCUUGCACAAGCUGAGCACUAUGGAAUAUUCAUCCAGCAUGCAGCAUAUGUAUGGCUGCUGCUCAGUCUAAAGACCAGCACAUACUUGGACUGUUUUUCCAGUUGAAAUGGCACUUGUUAGCCACUGGGUCGAGGAGAGAGACAUCAGAGGUAGCUGCGGCCUCUCAGCAGUGUGGGGCAGGAAUAGGAGAAAUGGAAGGGGGAGCCAGAGAGCACCAGAGCUGCUGUUCCUGCCCUGCAGGAGAACCAGAGACCCUUAUCUCUACCAAUGACUCCUGUCCCCUGUAGCUGGAACCACCACCUAAUAUUUCCCAUUAUUUCUUGUUGGCUUCUGGCAGUCUCCUGCUUCAGGCAACUGAUAAAUGUGCCUGUGUCUUAAAGAUAGCCAGAGAGUAGGUGCAGGAUGAUGACAUUCAUUCCCCUCACCCACCUCAUUUUUUCCCCUGGAGACAUUUUUUUUUCUUCUAGAUCUGCAUUGUAACGUUAGAGCUCCAUUUGUGUGUUAUGUCUGAGCCCAGCUGAAAGUUAUUGAUGAUUUCUACUUUCAGCCUUUUUGUGACUGUGUUUUAGUGAUAUUGACAAACAAACCAAAAAAAAAAUACAAAAAAUACACUUGACAAUUUAAUUAUUUAGUGCUAUCUAACUUACAGGUAUACGUGCCAUAAUUAAAGGUUUAUGUAGGUAAUAACUAUCUCUGAUGUGCUAUCUAAAUCAUAUUUUAUAUAUAAUAUGUCCCUCAUGCAUGAAACUUCCUUUUGACUAAACAAGUUUUGAUUAAACAUGUAACUUUUAAGGGUAUUUCUGAUCAACUGACGGUGAGAAAUAAUCUUGUCUUUGUCUAUGUAUCUCCCCAUGCUUCUAAAAUUUGCUAGAAAUUCUGUAUCUUUCCAUCUGUGACCUAAUUUCACUGCCAAUGAAGUUUACAGGAGUUCUUUCCGCUGGCUCCAUACAAAACCAGAUCAGGCCACUAGAGAACAAAAAUAAGUUACAUUCAUAAGUUGGAAGCUACCACAGGCAUUGAUCAAUACACACAUGAAUUUAUGCCCAGGCAGGGUUUGCAAUUUGGUGUUCUUCUCUUGGGAAUACCAGGAUGCCCUCUGUCAUGCAGGGAAGGGUGCAAAUCUAAAGUGAUGCUGGGUUUUACUGUCCUGAUGGGGGUUGAGACCCCCAUUUGGGGUAUUAUUUGGAGCAGGUGUUGAGACCUUGUCAAUGGCAUCACUAGUACAUUGCUUCAGAGAUGCCUGGCCAUGAGCAAUGUUACCUCUAAGUAGAGCUGCUUCUAAUUCUAUUUUGAGCCUGUGUCCUUUUUUACCUUUCAGUGCUGUCAUUCAAGUUUUAGGGUGAGGAUCUUACCUUUUUUUCAUUAAAAAUUGUUAGUUCUACAAAAAAAAAAUAAAAAUGGUGCACUUAAAGAUAGGCUUGCAAAAGCACAUAAUUUCAGAAAUAUUUACCAAAAAAUAUUCCUCAGUUUAUUGAAUACAUCUUUUGAGAUCUUUCAGUCUAAGUAUUCUUUAACCUAUUAAGACCAGCUAUUAAAUGUAUUUCAACUUCAAAGUAGGAGUAAAAAUGCUAUUGAAUAUAUAAAGUGAUGUUAUUAAAAAACAAACAAACAAAAAAGCUAAAAGCAUGUCUGUUAUCUUUCUUCUCCCAGAGGACAUUUCCCCCAUUAUCUGUCUUGACAAACAACUAGUCUCUCUAAUAAAUAAUUCAACAGGAGGAGACUCCAGGGCUGUCUGUAUAAAAUUAUGGCAUACAUUGUCUGAUGUCCUUGCUAGCCAGGAGAAACUAAGAGCUGGUGAAAUGGCAUUGUUAAAUCCCUGGACUGUCCCCUCAAUUUUCAGGUUUCUACAGUUAGAAAGUGACUGCUCCACCAGAGAAACAAAGACUAGAAUAAGUUUUGUGGUGUUUUUUUUUUGUUGGUUGGUUGGUUGGUUGGUUUGCUUUGGUUUUGUUCCCCUCAAAGCUUUUUUUUUUUUCUUUUUUGAACUCGUUAGGUCUGUCUGAAUAGCAUAAAUAAUUCUCCAGAAUUCAUUGUCUAAUUCAAGAUGAAUUGAGCAGUUGUUUUUAAGUUGUUAGUGUGGUGUUUUUUUUUUUUUACCUUACUGAAAUAAGCAUUUUAAGUUCCUGGCAUGUUAAAAAGGAAAAUGAGUCAGAUAACUGAAAGAGGGAGAUUGUACUCUGUGCCCAAACUAUUUGUGUUAAACUCUGUGUGGGUAAUGCACAUUCAACAUAAAUUCUUGAAAGUUUGAGGGUCAUACUAAUUUCAGGUGAAGUCUUAACCUCAACAAUCUUUCUUUUCAUUGUGAAGAUAGUACUUAAGGAAUGAAAAGGCUGGGAAUAAUUAGUACUGUGCUUUCACACACAUUAUGACUGCAUUAACUAUUAAAGAAUUCAGUGGCAGCGACAAGCUGGCAGAGAUAGCCUGAGUCAAAGCUCAGCCUGGGAGCUUCAUUGCCCUUCAGAACCUCCUGCUCCCUGCACUUGCGUAUCCUCAGCUUUGAUUUCUGCUGUGCAGCUUGCAGGAAUGUUUGGACCAUAUGAGGACUUCAUAGUAAUUUCAAAGUGAUGAAAUCUGUAUGGAUAAAAACACUGGAGUUUAGAGAAGCCCAGUUUUUAAUAAUGGUGUUAUCUUUAAAAGAUAAAGCUUCAGAAGAAUUUUUUUUGUUUAUUUUCUGCAAAUAGCAUUUAAAGAUUUGUGGAACUGUGACGUCAAAGCAGAAAGUGGUGUAUUACAGCUUCUUAGUUCAGUGUACAGUUAGGUUUUAAUACAAUACUGUUUCAUUAAGGGUUAUAGAUUUUUUUUUCAGCAUCACUUAGAAUUCUCAAUCAUAACCAAGACUACAUCAGUCCAUGCACCUAAAACUACAGGAUCUUACAAGCAAGAUACGCACUGGGUGGACAUGAAAAUAUUUUAUGGGCUUGCUUUGUUUGUUCUGUAUUGAUGGAAAGCUGAAUAGAAUAAAGUCAUUUACACAAA